This 249-nucleotide ribosomal RNA is filed under the name uncultured bacterium. RNAcentral describes it as "partial 16S ribosomal RNA". It matches the Rfam family "Bacterial small subunit ribosomal RNA", at positions 8 to 225 of the family's 1533-position model. The record is from RNAcentral.
AGAGUUUGAUCAUGGCUCAGGACGAACGCUGGCGGCGUGCUUAAACACAUGCAAGUCGAACGGACGGACUUUGAAGAAAUCUUCGGAUGGACUUAAAGCGAGUUAGUGGCGGACGGGUGAGUAACGCGUGGGUAACCUGCCCUUUUCAUGGGGACAACAGCUGGAAACGGCUGCUAAUACCGAGUAAGCUCCAAUGACCGCAUGGUAAUUGGAGGAAAGAUGGCCUCUGCACAUGCUAUCGGGAAAGGA